This 465-nucleotide long non-coding RNA is filed under the name Capsicum annuum. Its description in RNAcentral is "long non-coding RNA (CANN_LNC007592)". Lineage: Eukaryota; Viridiplantae; Streptophyta; Magnoliopsida; Solanales; Solanaceae. The record is from RNAcentral.
UAAUAAAGGACAAUCUAGUGCACAAAACAUUCCGCAUUAGCAAGGUCCGAGAUGAGCCGGCCGUACUUCAAAAGGUAUGAUGUAAACACCCUCCCUAGUGCAAGCAUUAGUAUUUGCUUCCACGGCUUGAUCAAACUUGUGACUAUAGGUCACACGACACGACGACAACUUUACCGUUGCUCCAGGACUCCAAUCUCAUUCAAAAGUAGCACUCAAAGCACACACAAAAUCACCACUUGAAAUAGGUAUGAUGUAGACAUCUAACCUAGUGCAGGCAUUAGUAGUUGCUUCCACGGCUCAAACUCGUGACUAUAGGUCACACGACACGACGACAACUUUAUCGUUGCUCCAAGACUCCAGUCCCAUUCAAAAGUAGCACUCAUAAUGCACACACAAAAUCACCACUUGUGUCAAUUUCAUCAUCUAAAUCAGCAUCAGUAUCAAAAUCAUCAAGAUCCAUACUAA